This is a long non-coding RNA of Sphaeramia orbicularis (orbiculate cardinalfish), 231 nucleotides long. RefSeq lists it as uncharacterized. The transcript is spliced from 2 exons. Lineage: Eukaryota; Metazoa; Chordata; Actinopteri; Kurtiformes; Apogonidae. The record is from RefSeq and is a predicted model, not a curated record.
UGAGCCUGUUUACAUUACACAUCUCAGAACAUUAAAGUACAAACUGUACAAAAACAGAAACAUUGCACAUUUUCUUUUCCAGUCCAAUCCGUGUCCAAUCUCCAAACCUAAACCCUUUGUCUAGUCCAAUCACCACGGCAGUAGAUUUGUUAGUUGUACGUCGCUAAAAUGAGUCCAGGUGCUCCAAUGCUAAGACAUUAGUUCCACCUGCUACAUGUUCUAACCUGAAGA